This 460-nucleotide ribosomal RNA is filed under the name uncultured bacterium. RNAcentral's name for it is "partial 16S ribosomal RNA". It matches the Rfam family "Bacterial small subunit ribosomal RNA", at positions 338 to 795 of the family's 1533-position model. The record is from RNAcentral.
CCUACGGGUGGCAGCAGUGAGGAAUAUUGGUCAAUGGACGCGAGUCUGAACCAGCCAAGUAGCGUGAAGGAUGACUGCCCUCUGGGUUGUAAACUUCUUUUAUAUGGGAAUAAAAUGUUCCACGUGUGGGUUUUUGUAUGUAUCAUAUCAUUAAGGCUAGGCUAACUCUGUGCCAGCGGCGGCGGUAUUACGGAGGAGCCGCGCGUUAUCCGGAUUUAUUGGGUGUAAGGGGAGCGUAGGUGGAUUGUUAAGUCAGUUGUGAAAGUCUGCGGCUCAACCGUAAAAUUGCAGUUGAAACUGGCAGUCUUGAGUACAGUAGAGGUGGGCGGAAUUCGUGGUGUAGCGGUGAAAUGCUUAGAUAUCACGAAGAACUCCGAUUGCGAAGGCAGCUCACUGGACUGCAACUGACACUGAGGCUCGAAAGUGUGGGUAUCAAACAGGAUUAGAUACCCGAGUAGUC